RNAcentral lists this ribosomal RNA (493 nucleotides) under uncultured bacterium. RNAcentral describes it as "partial 16S ribosomal RNA". It matches the Rfam family "Bacterial small subunit ribosomal RNA", at positions 30 to 523 of the family's 1533-position model. The record is from RNAcentral.
AUUGAACGCUGGCGGCGUGCUUUACACAUGCAAGUCGAACGGUAACAGGUUAAGCUGACGAGUGGCGAACGGGUGAGUAAUGCAUCGGAACGUGCCCGGUCGUGGGGGAUAACGCAGCGAAAGCUGCACUAAUACCGCAUACGAUCUGAGGAUGAAAGCGGGGGACCGUAAGGCCUCGCGCGAUCGGAGCGGCCGAUGUCAGAUUAGGUAGUUGGUGGGGUAAAGGCUCACCAAGCCAACGAUCUGUAGCUGGUCUGAGAGGACGGCCAGCCACACUGGGACUGAGACACGGCCCAGACUCCUACGGGAGGCAGCAGUGGGGAAUUUUGGACAAUGGGCGAAAGCCUGAUCCAGCAAUGCCGCGUGCAGGAAGAAGGCCUUCGGGUUGUAAACUGCUUUUGUACGGAGCGAAAAGGUCCUUUCUAAUACAGGGGGCUCAUGACGGUACCGUAAGAAUAAGCACCGGCUAACUACGUGCCAGCCGCCGCUGUAA